GACCGAUAGCAAACAAGUACCGUGAGNGANAGUUGCAAAGAACUUUGAAGAGAGAGUUCAAGAGUACGUGAAACUGCUCAGAGGUAAACGGGUGGGCCCUCGAAAUCCUGUGGCGAGAGGAUUCAGUCUGGUUCGGCGGACGCGGUGGCGGAAUUCAGCAGAGCUUCCCCGGAACGGGGGCCGUCUGCCGCUGCGCCUUUCGUCGUUCCAGACGCAUUUGUCUCUCGUCCGAAGGACGCCGCAGCCGGUUCGGAAGUGCAAGCGUGACGGCCUGAAGGUCGGGAAAUGGCAGGUGGCCGGUGGCUCGCUUCGUGCGGGUCGUCGGUUGUUAGCCGUCCCGUCAGUGGCCCGUCUCCGGACCGAGGUGUCGCGAGUCCCUCGGGACUCCACGUCUCCGCCCCCGUGCUGCGGGAUAGAUCUCGGCAGGAGCGUUCAGCCCGGCGUCCGCACGCCUGACGCGUGGGAAGGCCGGGCACAGCUCUCUGAUGGUCGAGGCGAGGCCCGCGGGGGACAGGAGGCUGGCGGCGAGUAGGUCGGUCACCCACCCGACCCGUCUUGAAACACGGACCAAGGAGUCUAACAUGUGCGCGAGUCAAUGGGUCUUGAACAGGCCCAGGGGCGCAAUGAAAGCGAAGCGCGGACGAGUGCCGUGCGUGCGGGGAUCCCUCCUCUCCGGAGGGGGGCGCACCCGCGACCCGUUCUGUGCCGCUCGCGGCUUGGGCGGAGUCUGAGCGUACACGUUGGGACCCGAAAGAUGGUGAACUAUGCCCGGACAGAAUGAAGCCAGAGGAAACUCUGGUGGAGGUUCGCAGCGGUUCUGACGUGCAAAUUCGAUCGUCAGAUCCGGGUAUAGGGGCGAAAGACUAAUC
This 869-nucleotide ribosomal RNA is filed under the name Phintella cavaleriei. RNAcentral's name for it is "eukaryotic LSU rRNA". It matches the Rfam family "Eukaryotic large subunit ribosomal RNA", at positions 332 to 936 of the family's 3401-position model. The record is from RNAcentral. Lineage: Eukaryota; Metazoa; Arthropoda; Arachnida; Araneae; Salticidae.